RNAcentral lists this RNase P RNA (433 nucleotides) under SAR324 cluster bacterium. Its description in RNAcentral is "RNase P RNA component class A". It matches the Rfam family "Bacterial RNase P class A". Rfam says of the family: Ribonuclease P (RNase P) is a ubiquitous endoribonuclease, found in archaea, bacteria and eukarya as well as chloroplasts and mitochondria. Its best characterised activity is the generation of mature 5'-ends of tRNAs by cleaving the 5'-leader elements of precursor-tRNAs. Lineage: Bacteria; Deltaproteobacteria. The record is from RNAcentral. RNAcentral also lists the same sequence under 1 other name.
AGAGUCGGAUACACGGCCGCCGGUGAAUCCUGUCAAGAGCGGGUUCUUGCCGGAGGAAAGUCCGGGCAGCAAGGGCGCGGUGCUGGUUAACGGCCAGACGGUGUGAACCGAUGGAAAGUGCAACAGAAAGCAUACCGCCGAUGGACCUCCUGAAGGUCACAGGUAAGGGUGAAAUGGCAGGGUAAGAGCCUACCGCGGUCCUGGUGACAGGGCCGGCAGUGUAAACCCCACCUGCUGCAAGUCCAAAUAGGAUCGCUAUCGGGUGGCCCGCCCGGCGAUCGGGUAGGACGCUUGAGGCUGACGGUAACGUCAGUCCCAGAUAAAUGGUCGUGGCCCCACCUUUCAAAGAAGAUCAUGUCCUGGAUGUCGUUUAACAUCCAUGAAAUUUUUGACAGGGAGGGGAACAGAACCCGGCUUAUUUCCGGCUCUGGCC